Molecule: ribosomal RNA, 115 nt
Filed under: Burkholderia cenocepacia
Lineage: Bacteria; Pseudomonadati; Pseudomonadota; Betaproteobacteria; Burkholderiales; Burkholderiaceae
Source: RNAcentral
CCUGAUGACCAUAGCGAGUCGGUCCCACCCCUUCCCAUCCCGAACAGGACCGUGAAACGACUCUACGAGCGAAGCAAUUGGAAGUGGUUCCAAGAAAAGCCUCUAAGCUUCAGUC